UGACACUGAUACACAUGCAAAUACAUCCUGACACAGAAAAAAAGAAAGAAUCCUGGACAUUCUUGAACCAUGAAGUACUUAUGUCACAUACAAAUUAGUUCACAUGGAAGUCAAUGUUUACAAAUAAGAGUAAUUGGAAAUGGAAUGAAAUGUAUGCGUAUGCAUACUUCCAUUUCCAGUCUAGCUGAGCAGCCUUGAGUAAGUUACAAAGCCUCUGUGAGCCCCAUUCUCCUCAUGAAGAAAACGAGGGUAAUAAUAUCCAACAAUGAAGGAGUCUUUGAUAAUUAAAAAGCUAGUAAAGCAUAUAGUACAGUGCCCAGCACAGAGCAAGUGGAAAAUGCUAUUUACAGCUACUUCUACGGUGAUGAUGAUUG
Molecule: long non-coding RNA, 374 nt
Filed under: Pan troglodytes (chimpanzee)
Lineage: Eukaryota; Metazoa; Chordata; Mammalia; Primates; Hominidae
Description: long non-coding RNA NONPTRT011440
Source: RNAcentral